GGGUCAGUAGGUUGGUCGUGCCACCGGUACGUACUGGUCUCACUGAUUCCUCCUUCCUGAAGAACCGUAAUGCCAUUAAUUUGGUGUUGCGGGGAAACAGGACUGUUACUUUGAAAAAAUUAGAGUGUUUAAAGCAAGCUAACGCUUGAAUACAUUAGAAUGGGAUAAUGAAAUAGGACGAUCGAUCCUAUUUUGUUGGUUUCUAGGAUUGACGUA
This 216-nucleotide ribosomal RNA is filed under the name Glomeromycotina sp. RNAcentral describes it as "partial small subunit ribosomal RNA". The stretch from base 40 to 216 matches the Rfam family "Eukaryotic small subunit ribosomal RNA", at positions 686 to 864 of the family's 1831-position model. The record is from RNAcentral. Lineage: Eukaryota; Fungi; Glomeromycota.